Molecule: ribosomal RNA, 396 nt
Filed under: uncultured bacterium
Lineage: Bacteria
Description: bacterial SSU rRNA
Rfam family: Bacterial small subunit ribosomal RNA
Source: RNAcentral
AGUGAACGCUGGCGGCAGGCCUAACACAUGCAAGUCGAGCGGAUGAAAGGGGCUUGCUCCUGGAUUCAGCGGCGGACGGGUGAGUAAUACGCAGGAAUCUACCUAGUAGUGGGGGAUGACGUUUCGAAAGGGACGCUAAUACCGCAUACGUUCUGAGGAAGAAAGCAGGGGAUCGUAAGACCUUGCGCUAUUAGAUGAGCUUGCGUCCGAUUAGCUAGUUGGUGGGGUAAAGGCCUACCAAGGCGACGAUCGGUAACUGGUCUGAGAGGAUGAUCAGUCACACUGGAACUGAGACACGGUCCAGACUCCUACGGGAGGCAGCAGUGGGGAAUAUUGGACAAUGGGGGCAACCCUGAUCCAGCCAUGCCGCGUGUGUGAAGAAGGCCUCGGUUGUAA